UACAGAGGAUGCAAGCGUUAUCCGGAAUGAUUGGGCGUAAAGCGUCUGUAGGUGGCUUUUUAAGUCCGCCGUCAAAUCCCAGGGCUCAACUCUGGACAGGCGGUGGAAACUACCAAGCUGGAGUACGGUAGGGGCAGAGGGAAUUUCCGGUGGAGCGGUGAAAUGCGUAGAGAUGUGGAGGAAUACCGAUGGCGAAGGCAGCCCCCUGGGCCAACACUGACGCUGAUGCACGAAAGCGUGGGGAGCAAACAGG
This 253-nucleotide ribosomal RNA is filed under the name uncultured bacterium. Its description in RNAcentral is "partial 16S ribosomal RNA". It matches the Rfam family "Bacterial small subunit ribosomal RNA", at positions 524 to 776 of the family's 1533-position model. The record is from RNAcentral.